GUGUCAGCCGCCGCGGUAAGACGAACCGUGCAAACGUUGUUCGGAAUCACUGGGCAUAAAGGGCGCGUAGGCGGUCGGUCAAGUCUGGGGUGAAAUCUUUCGGCUCAACCGGAAACGUGCCUCGGAUACUGACUGGCUGGAGGGAGGUAGGGGUCGACGGAACUUCCGGUGGAGCGGUGAAAUGCGUAGAUAUCGGAAGGAACACCGGUGGCGAAAGCGGUCGACUGGACCUUUUCUGACGCUGAGGCGCGAAAGCCAGGGGAGCAAACGGGAUUAGAUACCCCGGUAGUCCUGGCCCUAAACGAUGGGUACUAGGUAGAAGACUGGACAUGGGUUUUCUGCCGAAGCUAAUGUGUUAAGUACCCCGCCUGGGGAGUAUGGUCGCAAGGCUGAA
RNAcentral lists this ribosomal RNA (394 nucleotides) under uncultured bacterium. RNAcentral's name for it is "bacterial SSU rRNA". It matches the Rfam family "Bacterial small subunit ribosomal RNA", at positions 505 to 898 of the family's 1533-position model. The record is from RNAcentral.